RNAcentral lists this ribosomal RNA (502 nucleotides) under uncultured bacterium. RNAcentral describes it as "partial 16S ribosomal RNA". It matches the Rfam family "Bacterial small subunit ribosomal RNA", at positions 30 to 523 of the family's 1533-position model. The record is from RNAcentral.
AUCGAACGCUGGCGGCAGGCUUAACACAUGCAAGUCGAGCGGGGUGAUGGUGCUUGCACUAUCACUUAGCGGCGGACGGGUGAGUAAUGCUUAGGAAUCUGCCUAUUAGUGGGGGACAACAUCUCGAAAGGGAUGCUAAUACCGCAUACGUCCUACGGGAGAAAGCAGGGGAUCUUUAUGACCUUGCGCUAAUAGAUGAGCCUAAGUCGGAUUAGCUAGUUGGUGGGGUAAAGGCCUACCAAGGCGACGAUCUGUAGCGGGUCUGAGAGGAUGAUCCGCCACACUGGGACUGAGACACGGCCCAGACUCCUACGGGAGGCAGCAGUGGGGAAUAUUGGACAAUGGGGGGAACCCUGAUCCAGCCAUGCCGCGUGUGUGAAGAAGGCCUUAUGGUUGUAAGGCACUUUAAGCGAGGAGGAGGCUCUUUUGGUUAAUACCCAGAAUGAGUGGACGUUACUCGCAGAAUAAGCACCGGCUAACUCUGUGCCAGCAGCCGCCGUAA